GCCGCCUCCCACCCACCAACAAUAUGUUUGGGUUGGCGCAGAUAGAAAAGGCUAAAGAAGAUCGAUCAUAGGAGCAGAAGAAGAGCCCAAGGGAAAACAAGCAAAUGAGCAGCCAAGGUCUCAUCCCAUGACAGAGGCACAGUUCCUCGCCUGGAAACGCCGAAAGGAUGCAGAUGCCUCAGCUUGAAAAGCUGAAGCAGCUAGGAAACGUGCAGAAGAUAUUAGCUGCAGGGACAGUGCAAAUGAAUGGGCUGGAGCUGUUCUUGCUUGAGCCCUGGGUGUUUGAUAACUCUCAAUAUUGAAGGUUUUGACUCAACAUUCGUCGUUUUGGUUAAAUUUGAUGUUGCGUUCAUGUAAUUAACCCAAGAAUUCAAUUGAAUUGAAUUCCAGCAUUCAUGAAUGGCUGCUUGGUGUAACUGCUGAGGAUCCUGCAUUUGCGAUUGAAUUGUAAUGUCAUCUUUGGGGGAAAAUCCCCAACUGCUGAGCCAUUGCUGCUGCCUGAGGAUGUUGCAUGUAAUAUGCUCCUUGUUGCAUUGCAGGCUGUGGGGCCAUCUGAAAGUGUAGGUGCACAAGAGCAAGAAGUGCGAGUGUCACUAAACUACUAAAAGAUGAACUGCAUGCCUGGGGAGGCAUUGUUGAUGCCUGUCUUUGUGCACCAGCAAUUGCGGCUAAAUACAUUAAAGUCGUUUGCAGCUGGGCUUGAUACCUAGAUCAUCAAAAUCAUAGUGAUUUAUAUAUAUAUAAAGCAGUGAUAUGUUUGUUUCCAGCAGGUCCCGAAGCUGAAACUACUGUGGUUGUGACACCAAACAGAAGAAUAUUAUUAAUCUUUAUGAGAAAAGAGUUUUUUGUUUUGCUGUAUCAGUUACAUGAUAGUCUAUAACUAAAUUGAUUUGUCUUCCUCUUACUUGUAUAAUUAUCAAUUGAGUUAUUCAACACUAGUUGUUCAAUAACAUGAUCAAUCUGGUGGUUAGCAGUAUGAUUUGAUA
Molecule: long non-coding RNA, 986 nt
Organism: Hevea brasiliensis (rubber tree)
Lineage: Eukaryota; Viridiplantae; Streptophyta; Magnoliopsida; Malpighiales; Euphorbiaceae
Exons: 3
Source: RefSeq, a predicted model, not a curated record